Long non-coding RNA from Ostrinia nubilalis (European corn borer), 3517 nucleotides. RefSeq lists it as uncharacterized. The record is from RefSeq and is a predicted model, not a curated record. The transcript has 2 exons. NCBI's taxonomy places the organism in Eukaryota, Metazoa, Arthropoda, Insecta, Lepidoptera, Crambidae.
AAAAAUUAUAAUAAUUAUUGUAAAAUAAAAAACAAUCAAGAAAAAAAUAUAAUUAUAUUAAGAUAACUUACAUACAUACACAUGUUAUGUUUCCAUAGAGAUCGAAAUUCAUCAGAGUAUCUGAUCAUACUCAUUUGGUGUUAGUUUCAGCUAGUUGAUGUGUUUUUCCAAAUAUUCGAAAAUUCAUUACAAAUAAUAAAUGAUAUUUCAUUCCGUUCUUCUUAUUCUCAGUUGUUAUACCUACUCUGAUAAUGGUUAUGGUCAUCAGGUCGGUCAAUUUUCAUUCCGUUCUUCUUAUUCUCAGUUGUCAUAUACUCUUGACAAUGGUUGUGGUCAUCAGGUAGGUAUGUCAAUUAUUGUGGGUGUCUCGCCUUAUUAUGUCUCACUGCAGUUUGGAUCAGGUCUGACUAUCGCAUGAACGCAUGUGAGUGUGACUUGCCCUGCACCACAAGCUGCUAUAUGGAGACGGUGUUACAUCUCCACUUGUGUUACGAAAAGAAUACGCGCUUGCACUAACAUCAGAUAGACGUUGAUUGAUACCAAGUUUUUAGAGUAUAGAAUAUUUUGUGCGAAAUUCAGUCCAUGAUAUUCCAAGCAUUUUCCUACAGCAAUAAAUCUUUAGUGCAUCUAUCUUUUUCUUCUCAAUUUCGCAUGGGAAACGCAAGAGUUUUGACCAGUCGGGUCUUAGUGGCUUUAGUCACGUUUCGGGCCCUUUCAGCUUGGAAAUUGCGGUUCUUCAUUGAUAAAUGAGUAGGAUAGAUUAAUGUAACCAUCACAUGUGUAAUAUCAUCUAUUCAUUCGAAGAUAACGCUUGCCUGUGCUAUGUAACAGGUCCUGGUUCUAUCGGCAAAUGAAAUAAUACGUUAUUCGUUCUGUAUUUUUGUAUUUUCAUGGUCAGCAAUGUUGUUCAGCGAGCACUUUCGCGAUGCGUAACUAUUAUCUAAUGAGCAUCAAUCCAGCAGAAAGUAACUGCCUUUAAAAUCAUCCUGAAUAGAAGAUAAAACGAUAAUCUUAAUUGAUGACUUUUCGUUGUUUAAAACAAUUUAAUAUUCAGCAUUUCAUUUAUUUUUCACUGUAUUAUCAGUCAGAUUACACAUGUCAAAAAAUGACAAUUGACAUUUAAAACGUUUUGUUCUCCAUGUUUAAGCGUUCUGUUAACCUUCAAAGCGUUUUGUUAACCUUGUUCCAUAUUAUCAUAACAUUGAAUUUAUCUUUUUAUUCUGAAGUUGUAGAAAUAUGGUAUGAUUACAUUUUUUGUUGUUUAAAUUAAGACAAAGAAAUUGGUAAUAUUUUCAUUGUCGUACACUCCGUCUAAAGACGGUACCAACACUACAUAGGUUUCUGCCAAUCUUCUUUAGUGUUACAAGAGAAGUGGUUACCAAUUUUAUAUAUUCGGAUAUUUGAUCCGAUUCACACUGUGUUGAUAAAAUUAACAAUGUGAUUUCUUCUAUAUGCAAUAGGCAUUCCAGCAAAUGUUUAUUGGGAUAGUGAAGAUUGCAUUUUUCUGAAUAUUUUUUCAUAGUUAUAAAUUGUGAAUAGAUUUCUUCACCAUCCCCUUCUAAAUCACUUUUACACAUUUCACAAUAACCAAUAUUUUUAUAAAUUGUUUUAAUAACCCAACCACUACAAUAAGCAGCUGCUGCGCAUUUUUCGAUGUUUAACGGAUUUUGGCUUUUUAUUAAAUUAUCAAUGUUAGUUAGAUCCAUGUUUAUGUGAUCAAAAUUUAUUAUUAUUCGGCAUGUGACGAUGCACAGCAUCUGGUGAGAGAUGCGUCUACUUCCAGUGUAGUUUUUUACCAUUUUAUACCUUAAAUGACGUCAUUUCCGCAAUUAUUUAAUAGGAAUUGAUUUGACUUACUUCCGUUUGCCGCCAUUUUAGUCACCUGGGGGCGAGCUUGCUCGGAGUUCUCCAUAGCGUCUUUAACUUCCAAACUAGCAACAUCGUAAGCAGAAACUCUGCUCAGAUUUUUACUGAAAUAAUUUAUUUCUCAACGUUCUUAUACUAAGUUUAAAAUUAAAAAGUGCAAUUGACCGCGCGUGUGUGACCGCGAACGACAUGUACGUGAUGGUGGUUGGCGCCAAAGGGGACGAGUGUCUUCCGGACGACGAGCAGGUGGACCCAGAGCGUCGGAUACCGGAGAAACUCGGACCCCGGCGAGAUUCAAAACGGAUGAAACGAGGUACGUGGGAUUCUGAUAGCUUUAACACUCUUUUCGAUCAAAUGAGCAUUCUCGCGAAUCUCUAUAUUGUAUAAAUAGAUUGAAUAACGUACCCACAACCAUCUUAUACAAUUUUAACGGCGGCCCCGUCAGCCCCAAUCGCAAACAUUACCAAUCAAAAUACGUUGUUAGCAUCACCACAAUCGAACGAUAACUCUUUCUGGUACGAGUUUCUUAAUAAAUACCCAUUUAAAAAGGCUCAUUGUGCUCAUAAAAUAAAGCACCUACAAAUGCUUUACCACACCAACAAAGCACUUUAAACUACAACUAUUAGUAGGCUGGGUGGCCACCCCCAACACUGAGCCAGCUUACAGCUUGAAUUAUUAAAUUCUAAUGUUUUUUGCAAAUCAAGAAGCUUAAUAAGUAUGACAAAAUGUGCUAAGUGCAUCGAACAUGUAUACUUCUAUUUUGCAACAACAUAUAAAUUGUAAUAUGACAUGCAAUAAACGUUUUUGAAUUUGAAUUUGAACAUGUCACGAACGUAUCCUGGCUAAAAUUCCUAAUAAGCAUUGUGCGAGGAGCACCCUCCCAGUGCUGGAUUUUUGUUCGACAAAAUCACCCUGUGCUCGUACUGGUGAUAUCUAAAAAAUAAUCCGACCUUGGUUCUCUAGCCGAUCACUUCAAGCAAAAUCAAAACAUAAUAAUAUCUUUAUUUGCUUAGACUGAUUAAAUUAGUUCUUACAAAUCGUCAAAUACUGAUAAAACAAAAAGCCAAGGAUUCCAAAUCAGUCCCUUCAGGUCCCCUUGACGACCAAUAAGUCAAAUGACCAUCCACUCAGCAAAUUCUAUGGAAGCUGCCUUUGAGCGUACCUAUCUUGGGCACUGGCAGGCGUCAUCAUUCUGUGGAGGUCAACCUUUUACCUGACAAUGGUUCCAGGGAUGCGUCUGCCAUUCACCUCCAAGCCGGUGCUUGCCCCUGCACCUGCAACACCGUGCUUUAUUCAGCGUCUUAACACUCUUGACUGUCUAGCGCUGACCAAAUAAGAAUAGCAAAGUCAAGUGACUUUCCACUCAGCAAAUUCUACGGAGGCUGCCUUUGAGCGUAUCUUGGGCAGUGGCAGGCGUCAUCAGACUGCGGAGGUCAACCUGUUACCUGACAAUGGUUCCAGGGAUGCGUCUGCCAUUCACCUCCAAGCCGGUGCUUGUCCCUUCAACGCCGUGCUUUAUUCAGCGUCUUAACACUCUUGACUGUCUAACGCUGACCAAAUAAACCGAAAUCCUGUUAAAACAGGUGCUGAAAUUACCAGAUAAGGCACCGCUCAGCAUGAGCCUGCUCCUCACAAUAUCCCUUCGCAAGAA